GCAUCGGUGGUGUAAGGUACACACGUCAAAUUCUUGUGUCUGUCCCAAGUCUGUCCCAAUGAUCAUGAAGAGCUCGGGGUUCGACUCCCCGCCGGUGCA
This is a non-coding RNA of Mycena latifolia, 99 nucleotides long. NCBI's taxonomy places the organism in Eukaryota, Fungi, Basidiomycota, Agaricomycetes, Agaricales, Mycenaceae. The record is from the annotation of a GenBank genome assembly.